AGUAAACUUUAGGGGUGUUCCUAUUUUUGGAACUGAGACAUACCCUUUGAACCUGAUGCGGUUAGUACCGCCGAAGGGAAAAGUUGAAAAACACCU
This 96-nucleotide non-coding RNA is filed under the name Paracellulophaga algicola. Its description in RNAcentral is "Cellulophaga algicola TPP sequence". It matches the Rfam family "TPP riboswitch aptamer (THI element)". From Rfam's summary of the family: Vitamin B(1) in its active form thiamin pyrophosphate (TPP) is an essential coenzyme that is synthesised by coupling of pyrimidine and thiazole moieties in bacteria. Lineage: Bacteria; Pseudomonadati; Bacteroidota; Flavobacteriia; Flavobacteriales; Flavobacteriaceae. The record is from RNAcentral.